Molecule: ribosomal RNA, 672 nt
Filed under: uncultured fungus
Lineage: Eukaryota; Fungi
Description: eukaryotic LSU rRNA
Rfam family: 5.8S ribosomal RNA (bases 276-429)
Source: RNAcentral
AGUAAAAGUCGUAACAAGGUUUCCGUAGGUGAACCUGCGGAAGGAUCAUUAAUUUUGGCAGUUUACUGCUGUAGAGAGGAGCCGAAUUCUAUCCAGGUUCGGGCUGAUGGGCAAAAAAAGUCUACUCAAAUCGCCCUGGUGUUUGUUAGUAGGCUCCCUUUCUUAACCCUUUGACUUUUUGCGCACUCAUGUUUCCUCGGCAGGCUUGCCUGCCGGUUGGACAAUCCUAUAACCUUUGAAUUUUCAAUCAGCGUCUGGAUUAAUAUAAUAAUUACAACUUUCAACAACGGAUCUCUUGGUUCUGGCAUCGAUGAAGAACGCAGCGAAAUGCGAUAAGUAGUGUGAAUUGCAGAAUUCAGUGAAUCAUCGAAUCUUUGAACGCACAUUGCGCCCCUUGGUAUUCCAUGGGGCAUGCCUGUUCGAGCGUCAUUUGUACCCUCAAGCCUUGCUUGGUGUUGGGUGAUUGUCUUUGCUAUGCCUAGACUCGCCUUAAAUUUAUUGGCAGCCAAUAUAUAGGUUUGAAUUGCAGCACAAUUUGCAACCUCUGCUUAUUUUAUGGGCAUCCAUUAUGAUUAUUCCACGUUUGACCUCGGAUCAGGUAGGGAUACCCGCUGAACUUAAGCAUAUCAAUAAGCGGAGGAAAAGAAACCAACAGGGAUUGCCCCAGUAACG